This 400-nucleotide ribosomal RNA is filed under the name uncultured bacterium. RNAcentral describes it as "bacterial SSU rRNA". It matches the Rfam family "Bacterial small subunit ribosomal RNA", at positions 357 to 774 of the family's 1533-position model. The record is from RNAcentral.
GGGAAUUUUGGGCAAUGGGCGAAAGCCUGACCCAGCAACGCCGCGUGAGGGAUGAAGUAUUUCGGUAUGUAAACCUCGAAAGAAUGGGAAGAAUAAAUGACGGUACCAUUUAUAAGCUCCGGCUAACUACGUGCCAGCAGCCGCAGUAAUACGUAGGGAGCAAGCGUUGUUCGGAUUUACUGGGCGUAAAGGGCGCGUAGGCGGCGCGGUAAGUCACUUGUGAAAUCUCUGAGCCUAACUCAGAACGGCCAAGUGAUACUGCUGUGCUAGAGUGCGGAAGAGGCAACCGGAAUUCUUGGUGUAGCGGUGAAAUGCGUAGAUAUCAAGAGGAACACCAGAGACGAAGGCGGGUUGCUAGGCCGACACUGACGCUGAUGCGCGAAAGCCAGGGGAGCAAACG